RNAcentral lists this ribosomal RNA (217 nucleotides) under uncultured bacterium. RNAcentral's name for it is "partial 16S ribosomal RNA". It matches the Rfam family "Bacterial small subunit ribosomal RNA", at positions 524 to 738 of the family's 1533-position model. The record is from RNAcentral.
UACGAAGGGGGCUAGCGUUGCUCGGAAUCACUGGGCGUAAAGGGUGCGUAGGCGGGUCUUUAAGUCAGGGGUGAAAUCCUGGAGCUCAACUCCAGAACUGCCUUCGAUACUGAGAGUCUUGAGUCCGGGAGAGGUGAGUGGAACUGCGAGUGUAGAGGUAAAAUUCGUAGAUAUUCGCAAGAACACCAAGUGGCGAAGGCGGCUCACGUGGCCCGGU